Non-coding RNA from Capsicum annuum, 107 nucleotides. Lineage: Eukaryota; Viridiplantae; Streptophyta; Magnoliopsida; Solanales; Solanaceae. The record is from Rfam.
AAAUCGUGGUUUGGACAUUAUGUUAGUUUUCCAUUGAAUCUUUCCCAUACUUCAUACAAAGUCUCUCUAUUUAAUUGUCUAAAGUUGAUGAUUUUAUCCCUCAAUUG